UAGCCGUAGGUGAACCUGCGGCUGGAUCAUUAUCGAGCUAACCAAAAAACUCUAGCUCUGCUUCGGCAUCUAGUGUUGAAUCGUGGCAGGCAUAUGUGCGGUACAUUUGAUUUGAUGUACGACUGCACGCCACAGUGAACCAACGGCAACCGAUUGGUGUCUAACCGGCGUUGAGCAGCUGUUGUACUAAGUCCGUGGCUGUGUUGACGCGUCGGGAUACGCAUACGUCCGUGAAACACCGGGUAGCGGAUGCGAAGACUCAAUGAGCUCCAUGCCUGGGAGCUGCCAAUCACCCCUUUUUUUCAAUGAUUUUUCUAACAAUAAGACAAUAUCAGUCUUACCGGUGGAUCACUCGGUUCGU
RNAcentral lists this unclassified non-coding RNA (361 nucleotides) under root metagenome. RNAcentral's name for it is "partial contains small subunit ribosomal RNA, internal transcribed spacer 1, and 5.8S ribosomal RNA". The record is from RNAcentral.